GACGAACGCUGGCGGCGUGCUUAACACAUGCAAGUCGAACGGAAAGGCCCUGCUUUUGUGGGGUGCUCGAGUGGCGAACGGGUGAGUAACACGUGAGUAACCUGCCCUUGACUUUGGGAUAACUUCAGGAAACUGGGGCUAAUACCGGAUAGGAGCUCCUGCUGCAUGGUGGGGGUUGGAAAGUUUCGGCGGUUGGGGAUGGACUCGCGGCUUAUCAGCUUGUUGGUGGGGGAGUGGCUUACCAAGGCUUUGACGGGUAGCCGGCCUGAGAGGGUGACCGGCCACAUUGGGACUGAGAGACGGCCCAGACUCCUACGGGAGGCAGUAGUGGGGAAUAUUGCACAAUGGGCGGAAGCCUGAUGCAGCAACGCCGCGUGCGGGAUGACGGCCUUCGGGUUGUAAACCGCUUUCGCCUGUGACGAAGCGUGAGUGACGGUAAUGGGUAAAGAAGCACCGGCUAACUACGUG
Molecule: ribosomal RNA, 468 nt
Filed under: uncultured bacterium
Lineage: Bacteria
Description: partial 16S ribosomal RNA
Rfam family: Bacterial small subunit ribosomal RNA
Source: RNAcentral